GACCGUACCAAAAUCUCAGUCGUGUGAGCACGUGCGAAAGGUCUCUUUCAACGCGUGCAUGGAAGGUUCGCUGUUCGAUAAAAGGUUUUUGGAAGCGGAUGCCUUCUCAAUUCUCGGUUCAGCCCAGUUCUUGCUUGGCCGCACAUGCUUCCAUCAAUCAUGAUGACUCCAUGAGCAUCUAUACAGGUAAGGCCACGCUCCAUAGCCGGUUAUCAUACAGUUACAUAUUGUGUGAAACCAUUCUUUAAUGCUUCCAAAUUUCAAGGGCCUCAAAGAAAAUUGUGGAAAGUGUGAUUGCCACUCUCUAAUAAUUACAUUUGUUAUUUUUAA
Ziziphus jujuba (common jujube) is the source of this 330-nucleotide long non-coding RNA. RefSeq lists it as uncharacterized. The transcript is spliced from 2 exons. NCBI's taxonomy places the organism in Eukaryota, Viridiplantae, Streptophyta, Magnoliopsida, Rosales, Rhamnaceae. The record is from RefSeq and is a predicted model, not a curated record.